GACUGCAUGAGCCGGAGACUCCGUGACACUUGCAUGCGACGUUGGCCAGAUUGUACACUGCCUUGACCAAGGUGUGAUGGAUAGACAGGCUCAUCGGUGCGUGGAAAGGACACGCAUGCGGUGCUGUGCACAAUGGAGCGCGCUCAGACGGGUCAGGGUCACUGCUGGGCGGGGUCGGGGCGGAGCAAGGAGGAGUGGAGAUAAGAGGACGGGGAAACGAGUCUGAAGUAAACAAAUACAAAUCUCUCUGAGCUAUGCUAAGAAAAUGGAGCAGUUUUCAAGGCUACAACAAUGUGAGACUUUUAAAGCAUCUGUAUAUAUGUGUGUA
Molecule: non-coding RNA, 328 nt
Organism: Pimephales promelas (fathead minnow)
Lineage: Eukaryota; Metazoa; Chordata; Actinopteri; Cypriniformes; Leuciscidae
Source: RefSeq, a predicted model, not a curated record